Long non-coding RNA from Pan troglodytes (chimpanzee), 5286 nucleotides. RefSeq lists it as uncharacterized. The record is from RefSeq and is a predicted model, not a curated record. The transcript is spliced from 5 exons. NCBI's taxonomy places the organism in Eukaryota, Metazoa, Chordata, Mammalia, Primates, Hominidae.
GAGCCCAGCUGGGGUGGUAAAUAGAGUACAGUACAGAUUCUGUGUGAAGAAUAGAGAGACAGACGUUCCAUUUCAAAGAAAAAAGAGCAACACGAAGGCCCUCUUUAAGGAGAGAGUAAACAUUCACUUUAGGUAAAAAAUAGUCUUUUACACGCCUGUGCACGGCACACCUCUUUUGCUGUUCACCUUGAGCCCAAGAGUUUGGAAAGGCUGCUCCCAUUUCAGAGAGGAAGAAACGCAGGCACACGUGAAUGACAGACUCCUCUGUGGUGGCCUAGACUCCAGCCAACACUUCCUAGGACAGCCUGCCAUUGUGCAAAGUGGCCUUUGCUGCACAACCCUGGCUUGGGAGGAGGUGCUCUUCACGUGGCCUCCAAUGACAUUGUGGGAUGGAGGCAUCUUACCAUUGGAAGUCACCAUGUAACAAAUGCAGACAUCUCUGAGAUCACCAUGCAGUGAGGAAGUCUAAGCUGGUGGCAUGAAGAGGCCACAUGGAAAGGGCUAAAAAAGGGGCCAGCCUCAGUCAUCCCAGCUGAGCACCUGGCUGGGAAUAAAAGAGGACUCCGUGGAUGUCCAGCCCAGUAAGAUGACCUCAGCCCCAGCCACCAACUGACCAUGCACACAAGACAUCGUGAGGCUGCCUGCUGGAGCCUGGCCAGUGGGACUGUAGAGUAACUCAUUGUCGCCAGCAAACUGCCAGUGUGAAGGAUGCCCAGGUAACCUGCCCAUGCCAGAACGGCCAGGAGAUGGUGGAACCAGAAUCUAAGCCCACGCCCAUCUGACCUCAAAGUCUGUGCUCCUGAUGUUUGCACCGAGUCGCCUCCUAAGACUUGCUGAAACUGGAUCACAUCCAUUUACCCAUCUCUGAGAGAAAUGCAAGCUUUAAAAAAGGAAAUAUUUACUAUGGAUAUUUUACAAUAGUUCCAAAACAUGAAAGUUUUAAAUAAGAUAUUCUUAACCAUCCUCACCACAUCUUCAGGUUCCCUUACAGCCACUGUGUUUUGACGAUUGCCCAUUAGAAAAAAAGACUAUGCUUUCUGUAGGUUUUAAAGGAAUGGUGGUGAAAUAGGGAGCAUUCCCUGAGCAGAUCCUGCCUGCGGGCACACCUCUGAGCAUUGGACCAGGCGAGAAGAGCCCAUGUGUUGGCUGCUUUGGGAUCCCAGCACUGCCAAUGGCAGGUGGGCUGUGACCCAGGGAGAGAACUUAGCCUUUUGCAUUCUCUUGCCCCAUUUGAAAAUGGAGACGAUAGUGGCGCCCCGCUCAGUGUUAUUUUGAGGAUUCGAAUGUAUCUCAGACGUAGUACCUGGAAAAAUAUAAGUGCUCAGUAAAUACGGUUGCCAGAUAAAAUGCAGGAAACCUAUUUAAAUUUAAGUUUUGGCUGGACAAUGAAUAGAAUAAUUUUUCUUAGUAUGAGUAUCUCCUUAUAUUUCAUCUGCUAAAUUUAGCAACCUCCUCAGUAAACGAUCACUACAAUUGCAGAAACGCCUUUUGACAGAUAUAGUAAAUCUGUAAAGAAAUAGGAACUUGCAUUUAUUUUUACUAAGCUCUGACUGGUUAAGAUAACUGGGCAAGAGAAGAUAUCUUCGACUAAACUUGCAGCACAUAGAGUAUAGAGAUUCAAAUUUGAAGUCCUAUAGGACUAGAAUGGCCAGAGGUGAACUGUAGCGAGCUUAUCUAAAGAGGACCAAUUUCAAAAGUUCCUCAGAGACUUAAAUGGGCCCACAGACCCCUCCUGUGUCUUUGCAUAAACCAGCUCGUUAUAUCAGUUAUAAGUUGAUUUCCAGAGAAAUGUACCCUGGAGGUCCCUCUCCCACUUGAAAUAGGACUGGCCAAUCCAGAUGUCCCCCAGGCGAUGUUGGCUCAAAUGGAGCUCCAUAAAUUGGAGAAUCUGUUCAAGAAAACAAGCAAAAGUAUUUGUGACUGAGUUAGCUAAUGCCAGCUGGUAUCUUGAACAAACCCAGAUCUCUAACAUGCUAGUUUAUUUCGUAGUGUAAAAUGUGUGUUACUGAUGGGCAGACAGCUCUCAUUCAAGCAGUGACAGAUGUAAGCUCUUCCCAUUUUUGUGGCCCCAUUGUAUUCGGCAUGUGGCUUCCAAGUUGCCUGGGAUCAUCUCCACCCAGACUAAGGAAGAGGAAAGAGCUUGGACAACUGCACUUGGCUGGUUUUUAUGGAUCAGGCAAGGAAUUGGCUCCAACACAUUAGCUCACAUUCCAUUGGUUAGAACUGGGUUUCUCAACUAUUAGUACAGGGUGAGUGUAGGGUUUUGGCACCAUGGGCAUUUGAGCUGGCCAAAGGCUAAUCAGAGUUAGAACAAAGCCACAAAGCCUGUGAAUGGUGUUUAUUGUUGUGAGGAGCUGUCUUGUGCAUUGUGGAAUGUUCAGCAGGAUGCUCUCUGGCCUCAGAGACUCACUAGAUUCCCAUAGAACUCUCCUCUCUCCUCCAGUUGUGACAACCACAGUUGCCUCCUCUCCAGACAUUGCUAGAUGUCCCCGGGAGGCAAAAUUGUCCUGGUUGAGAACCACUGUGUUAGAACUCGGUCACAUGGCCACACCUAACUGCAAGGGAGGGGGCUGGAAGAUCUAGACGAAUAGUAUGCCAGGAAGAAAAUAAAACUGAUUUAGAGGCUGCUGGCCAGUUGCUUUCAGUGACCUUCAGCAUACUUAUUCCUCUGCAGCUGUCAGGACACUCGAGCCUGUUUCUGAGAUGUUUCCUGUGUGAGGGGACAUAGUGACUACUGGAGGGGUGACAUGUUGAACUUGGGUAGGGUGAAGAGGAUUGGAAACCACCAUCAUGUUUGGAAGCAUUGAAUGUUUAUGACUAUUUGAAUAGUUGUGACAAGGGUACAGUGAAGGAGGAAGUAACCAUUUUUGAAUACCCUUUUACAAUUUGCAAAGCACUUUUAAAGGUAAGAGUGAGUUCCUAGACCAUAUUAGGGUGAGAAUGGACAUUGUUGGCUGCCAUAUCAUUGGGCAGGGGCUUUGAGAUUUUUGUCUUCAGAAGGCAGAUUAGAUUUGGAGUAGAAGGAGAAAUGUAAAGACCUGGUAUCUGAGUGUGUUUGCAGAGGGGAAUUGUCGUUUGGAAGCACAAGAAAGGGAAUGGCCCGUUGGCACAUAUGGUACAUUGUGUUUUCAUAUAAUUAUACCUGAAUGAAAGCAAGAGGAAACGUGUAGGAAGCUGUUUACAUAGUCCUUUUAAUAAUGUUUACAUGAGUUAAUGAACAUGCAAACGUAUCUGAUGAAAACAUGUCAGUAGUGAAACAGCCUUGUGAAGAAUCAGAUCUUACCUCAGGCUGGAAAAAAGGACUGGUUUUCCAAGCUCACAAAUUGCAGCCAGUGUGAAUAGUAGCACAAAUGACUGUGAGCUUUAAGCCAUCCAUCCAUCCAUCCAUCCCUUCAUCCAUCACUCCAUCCAGCCAUCCGUCCCUUCAUCAAUCCAUCCAUCCCUUCAUCCAUCCAUCCAUCCAUCCUUCCUUCCAUUCAUCCCUUCAUCCAUCCGUCCAUCCAUCCAUCCAUCCACUCAUUCAUCCCUUCAUCCAUCCAUCCAUCCAUCCUUCCUUCCUUCCAUUCAUCCCUUCAUCCAUCCGUCCAUCCAUCCAUCCAUCCAUCCACCCAUCCAUCCAUCCAUUCCUUCAUCAACUCAUCCCUUCAUCCAUCAUCUACCAUUCAUUCACCCCUUCAUCCAUCCAUUCAUUUAUCCAUCCAUCCAUUUACUUCCAUCCAUCCCUUUAUCCAUCCAUUCACCCAUUCAUCCCUUUAUCCAUCUCUCCAUUCCUCCAUCCAUCCAUCCAUUUACUCUUCAUCCCUUCAUCCAUUUUUCCAUCCAUUCAUCCAUUCAUCUUUUCAUCCAUCCAUCCAUUGAUCCAUCCAUCCAUCCAUUGCUCCAUCCAACCAUCCAUCCAUCCAUUCGUCCCUUCAUCCAUCCAUCCAUUCAUCCCAUCAUCCAUCGAUCACUUCAUCCAUCCAUCCUUCCAUCCUUCCAUCCUUCCAUCCAUUCUUCCAUUCAUUCAUCCAUGUGUUCAGCAAGUAUUUACUGAAUGCCUAUUAUGUGCCAAGCACUCUCCUCAGAACUUAGGAAAUACCAGGAAACAAAAUCAACAACAAUCCCUCACCACCUGGAUAUUACGUUUUGAUGGGAAGAGACAAAGAAAUAAAAUUGGUGAGUGAAUCACAUAGGUUAUUAGAAGGUGAUAAAGGUGUAGGUGAUAAAGGAGAAGUGCCAGGAGCAAGGAUUGGGUACAGUUGUGAAUAAGGUGGCCCCACUAGGUUGCACUGAGAAGAUGACAUUUGCACAGAGACUUGAAGAAAGCAAGGAGAGAACAUGACUGUACCUGGGGAACAGCAUUUGUGGAAGAGGGAACAGCCAGUGUAAAAGUUCCAAGGCAUGAGUGCCUGGUACAUACACGGAACAUCGAGGCCAGGGUGGCAGAAACGUGGUGAGUCCAGGAAGGGAAUAGGAAAUAAGUGUAGGAAGGUGUACAGUGGGGUGGUGUGGGGGUGGAAUUGUGGCAGCCAGAUGGUGUUGGCAUAAGGCCUCUUGGCCCUUGUUAGGACUUGGUUUACCAUGGCGCAACACAUCCAUGAGAUUGGCAAAAAUUAAAAAGUCUGACAACAGAAAAUCUGGUAAUCUGGUGAGGAUGUGGAGCAGUGGGAAUUCUCCAAUACUGCCAGGGGGCAUGGGCAUCAAUCCCACCACACUGGAAUGCAAAGGGGCAUUCUGAGUAGAACUGAAGAUGUGCCCAUCCUUGACCCCACAGUUCCAGCCAUGGGCAUGCGAAUGAAUGUGCACACGUGUUGACUGCGGCAUUUGUUUGUAAUUAUGAAAACAUCUAAGUUUCCAUCUAUGGGAGAGGGGAUAAUGUGGGAGUGCCCUACAGUGGAGUUCUAGAGAGCAGUAAAAAUAAAUGGACUAGAGCUGCACACGUCAAAAUGGAUGAAGAUAAAAGACAUAAGGAUGGGAGAAGACCACCUGGCCACAGAAGUAUAUGUCCAAUAUGAUGCUGGUGUAUCCAGAGUGUUCAAGCAAACAACACAACACUACUCAUUGUUUCCAACGUGAGUAUGAAAGUAUGGAGCAGUGCGGAGGGCCAGGAGUGCUGAAUCCAGAUGGUUACUUCUCCAGGCGGGGGCCGAGGACCAGGGCUGGAGGUUUACUCCAGGAGCUUCAGUGGUGCAUGCUGAAUGUGCUGUUUCUUGGGCUGGGGGACAGAGAUGUGCAUGCUGUUAUACACUCUAUAUUGAAAUGAUUAUAUAACAAUAUACUAAUUUAUCAUGUAAUAAAUUUGACCAG